Molecule: ribosomal RNA, 1418 nt
Filed under: uncultured bacterium
Lineage: Bacteria
Description: 16S ribosomal RNA
Rfam family: Bacterial small subunit ribosomal RNA
Source: RNAcentral
AGAGUUUGAUUCUGGCUCAGGACGAACGCUGGCAGCGUGGAUUAGGCAUGCAAGUCGAACGGGAUCCGGGUUGGUAGCAAUACUGAUCUGGUGAGAGUGGCGGAAGGGCGAGGAAGACAUGAGCAACCUAUCCCCGGGGUGGGGAUAACUCAGCGAAAGCUGAGCUAAUACCGAAUGCGGCAUAUUUAACGCAUGUUAUAUAUGUCAAAGGUGGGGAUCGCAAGACCUACCCCCUGGGGCGGGGCUCGUGUGCCAUCAGCUUGUUGGUGGGGUAAUGGCCCACCAAGGCUUACGGCUAGCUUGUCUGAGAGGACGACCAGCCGCACUGGGACUGAGACACUGCCCAGACUCCUACGGGGGGCUGCAGUCGAGGAUCAUUCGCAAUGGGGGGAACCCUGACGAUGCGACGCUGCGUGGAGGAUGACGGCCCUCGGGUUGUAAACUCCUGUCAUGAGGAAAGAGACGAGGGCCGCUAACAGCGGCCUUAGCGGACGGUACCUCAAGAGGAAGCCACGGCUAACUCUGUGCCAGCAGCCGCGGUAAUACAGAGGUGGCGAGCGUUGUUCGGAUUUACUGGGCGUAAAGGGCGCGUAGGCGGCGCAGUGUGUCAGGUGUGAAAUCUCCGGGCUCAACCCGGAAAGUGCGCCUGAAACUGCUGAGCUUGAGUGCGGGAGGGGAGAUCGGAAUACAGGGUGUAGCGGUGAAAUGCGUUGAUAUCCUGUAGAACACCGGUGGCGAAGGCGGAUCUCUGGAACGCAACUGACGCUGAGGCGCGAAAGCGGGGGGAGCAAACAGGAUUAGAUACCCUGGUAGUCCCCGCCCUAAACGGUGCACACUUGAGGUAGGGGGAUUUCACCCCCCCUGUCUCGGAGCUAACGCGUUAAGUGUGCCGCCUGGGGAGUACGGCCGCAAGGCUAAAACUCAAAGAAAUUGACGGGGGCCCGCACAAGCAGAGGAGCAUGUGGCUUAAUUCGAUGCAACGCGAAGAACCUUACCCGGGUUUGACAUGUAACUGCACAUCCCAUGAAAGUGGGACUCCUUCGAGGGUGUUACACAGGUGCUGCAUGCCUGUCGUCAGUUCGUGCCGUGAGGUGUUUGGUUAAGUCCAGCAACGAACGCAACCCCUGUGUCCCGUUGCCAUCAGGUAACGCUGGGAACUCUGGACAGACUGCCUGUUUACGCAGGAGGAAGGUGGGGACGACGUCAAGUCAGUAUGGCCCUUACAUCCGGGGCUGCACACGUGCUACAAUGGUCGGUACAAUGGGAUGCUUGACCGCGAGGUUUGGCCAACCCCCAAAACCGGCCCCAGUUCAGAUCGGGGUCUGCAACUCGACCCCGUGAAGUCGGAUUUGCUAGUAACGGCGUAUCAGCUACGACGCCGUGAAUAAAAUCCCGGGCCUUGUACUCACCGCCCGUCA